This 273-nucleotide ribosomal RNA is filed under the name uncultured bacterium. RNAcentral's name for it is "partial 16S ribosomal RNA". It matches the Rfam family "Bacterial small subunit ribosomal RNA", at positions 524 to 796 of the family's 1533-position model. The record is from RNAcentral.
UACGUAGGGGGCAAGCGUUGUCCGGAUUUAUUGGGCGUAAAGCGCUCGCAGGUGGUUCAUUGCGUCGUGCGUGAAAGACCCUGGCUCAACUGGGGGGUGUCGUGCGAAACGGGUGGACUAGAGGCCAGUAGGGGGAUGCGGAAUUCCGGGUGUAGUGGUGGAAUGCGUAGAGAUCCGGAGGAACACCAGCGGCGAAGGCGGCAUCCUGGACUGGGCCUGACACUCAGGAGCGAAAGCGUGGGGAGCGAUCCGGAUUAGAAACCCCCGUAGUCC